This 433-nucleotide ribosomal RNA is filed under the name uncultured bacterium. RNAcentral describes it as "partial 16S ribosomal RNA". It matches the Rfam family "Bacterial small subunit ribosomal RNA", at positions 29 to 507 of the family's 1533-position model. The record is from RNAcentral.
AGCGAACGCUGGCGGCAGGCCUAACACAUGCAAGUCGAACGAACUCUUCGGAGUUAGUGGCGGACAGGUGAGUAACACGUGGGAACGUGCCUUUUGGUUCGGAAUAACUCGGGGAAACUUGUGCUAAUACCGAAUGUGCCCUUCGGGGGAAAGAUUUAUCGCCAUUAGAGCGGCCCGCGUCUGAUUAGCUAGUUGGUGAGGUAACGGCUCACCAAGGCGACGAUCAGUAGCUGGUCUGAGAGGAUGACCAGCCACACUGGGACUGAGACACGGCCCAGACUCCUACGGGAGGCAGCAGUGGGGAAUCUUGCGCAAUGGGCGAAAGCCUGACGCAGCCAUGCCGCGUGAAUGAUGAAGGUCUUAGGAUUGUAAAAUUCUUUCACCGGGGACGAUAAUGACGGUACCCGGAGAAGAAGCCCCGGCUAACUUCGUG